Molecule: unclassified non-coding RNA, 373 nt
Filed under: soil metagenome
Description: partial contains 5.8S ribosomal RNA, internal transcribed spacer 2, and large subunit ribosomal RNA
Rfam family: 5.8S ribosomal RNA (bases 1-121)
Source: RNAcentral
GAUGAAGAACGUAGCGAAAUGCGAUAAGUAAUGCGAAUUGCAGAAUUCCAGUGAGUCAUCGAAUCUUUGAACGCACAUUGCGCCCUUUGGUAUUCCGAAGGGCAUGCCUGUUCGAGCGUCAUUAUCACCCCUCAAGCCCUCGGCUUGGUGUUGGACGGUUUGGUGGAGGCCCCCUCGGGGGCUCCUGCCCCUCCCAAAGACAAUGACGGCGGCCUCGUUGGACCCCCGGUACACUGAGUUCUUCACGGGACACGUAUCGGACACAUGGGUUUACGGGACACGGUCUGCCUCCCCUCAGGGAGAAUCUUUCUAAGGUUGACCUCGGAUCAGGUAGGGAUACCCGCUGAACUUAAGCGUAUCAAUAAGCGGAGGA